AAAAAGAAAAAAAAAGAGAGAAAUAGAAGUGCUUGAUGUACUGUUUUUAAUUGGAAAGUUCUAAUAAACCAAAUCAAUGGCGUUGCAACAUUUUGAAUUCCUUCAUUAUUGAACUUAUCUCCAAAUCAUAGAACUUUUUGGUGAUAAUCGAAUAUUUGAUGUUGGAUGAAAUGAAUAGUGUGAUAUUCAAUGGUAAAUCUAAAAAAGCUCCCUAAAAGUAGUGCCAGCCACAAUCUAAAUUGUGCCGGAAAUCCAAUCAAAACUGGUCCUAUUAUAUUUGGAACCAGAAUCGGUUUAAGGGCCUGAAUCCAAUUGGAACCUGGACCCUGAGGGUCGGCUUGG
Molecule: unclassified non-coding RNA, 342 nt
Filed under: Hevea brasiliensis (rubber tree)
Lineage: Eukaryota; Viridiplantae; Streptophyta; Magnoliopsida; Malpighiales; Euphorbiaceae
Source: RNAcentral